RNAcentral lists this long non-coding RNA (4333 nucleotides) under Canis lupus familiaris (dog). RNAcentral describes it as "lncRNA (ENSCAFG00040017761.1)". Lineage: Eukaryota; Metazoa; Chordata; Mammalia; Carnivora; Canidae. The record is from RNAcentral.
GCCACCCCGGACCCUACCCCCCCCCCCCGGGGUCGCAGCCCCCUGGAACCGCUCUGUGCACUUCCCCCGCAUCCCUGCGCCCUUCAUCCCUGCCCCGCGUCCAGGAGCCACCCCGCCACGGAGCCCCCUUCCCCCCUGGAACCGCUCUGUGCGCUCCCCCCGCAUCCCUGCGCCCCGCAUCCCUGCCCCGCGCCGCGGACCCCCCACCCCCGUCGCAGCCCCCUGGAAAGCCGUGCCCGCACCCCCGAGGCACCCCUCCGCUCUGUGCGCUCCCCCCAUCCCUGCCCCGCGUCCCCAAGCCACCCCUCCGCGGAGCUCCCCCUCCCCGGGGUCGCAGCCACCUGGAAAGCGUGUGGGCUCCCCCCGCAUCACCGCGCCCCGCGCCCCCGAGCCACCCCGGACCCCGCCCCGCCCCGCAGGCCCUGCACCCGGAGCGGUCCGGCCGCGCUGAGCCACCGGGGACCGCGUCCGAGGGCCUGGGCCAGGGCGGGCGCAGCCUGCAUCCUUCACCCCGCGCUGCGAGGCCGUCGGCCCGCUAGGGUCAGGAUCCCAACCACAGGCAUGACAGCACUGACGUCGGGAACAGGGAAGCGCCUUGCUCAGGGCCAGGCAACCAGCGCGCGGGGCGCCCGGGCCAGGAGAUCCACGGCAGAACACUCCACGCGCGGAAAGCGUCUCGGACCCGGUGUCUCCAGGGGCAGGGCGCAUUUCCCGAGUCGGAGCUUCGGGAGCCCCGCGGGGCGGAGUCGGGGUGCGGCGCCCUGGCCCUGCCACCUGGGGCCAAGGGAGAGCUGGGGACCCCCUGGCCGCCUCCCCGCCUCCCGCAAGCCUGUUGCACAGGCCCAGGGAAUCUCCACCCAAAGCAAGCAGGCGGCGGGGACUGCUCUGCGGCGGCCCAGGUCCCCGGCGCCUUUGCAGCUCAAGCAGCAGCGCACAGGCAAGUGUCUCCUCCGCACGUUCCUGCUUUUCCAUAUGGGAUCGCGCAGGUUUCCAGUGCAAAUCAGCUGUCGGUGGCCCGACCCCCCGACUUUCACCAGCACAAAUUUAGGAAGCGGCUUGGCUUCCUUCAGUCAAAAGCAGUGAGAAAUAACAAAAGCGAAAGGUUGUGGUCCUGCGGCGCUGGAGCAGGCGAGCCAGAGGUCUAGGAGCCUGUCUGCGGCCAGGAGAGCGCCUUCUCCGGGCACCUUGCUGCACCCCCCUGAGAACUGGCUUCCCAAGAGCGCCGCGUGGGAACUCACCCAUGAAGACCCCCCCUCUGUCCCUUGCUUCAAAAAAUCACAAUAAUUGAACUGAGUUCUGAAUUUCUUCAGCGCGGUGUUAGCGUGUUUGCAACGGAGAGCGUGCACUGCAAUAGACGAGCGCCCAGUGUGCACCUUGUUUUCUUAAGUGUUGACGGGUGGGGGAUAGGAACUGCACAGUGUGCCCCUCAGGUGGCCGACCCAGUGCCCAGUACCGGGUAAGCGAUAAUUUCUGAAAGAACCUGGGGUGUGGGCCGCGGGGCCGCGGGGCCUCGGGCCUGUUGAGCUGCGGGGCUGCAGGGCCGCGGGGCUGCUGAGAUGCGGGGCUGCUGAGCUGCAGGGCCUCGGAGCUGCGGGGCUGCUGAGAUGCUGAGCUAUGGAGCUGCUUAGCUGUGGGACUGCAGGGCUGCGGGGUUGCUUAGCUGCCAGGCAGCGUAGCUGCGGGACCUCAGGGCUGUGGGGCUGCUGGGCUGCUGAGAUGCGGGACUGCGGGGUGCAGGGCUGCGGGGCUGCGAGGUUAGCGGGGCUGCGGAGCUGCAGGGCUGCCGGGUUGCGGGGCUGCAGGGCUGCUGAGCUGUGGGGCUGUUGAGCUGCAGGGCUGCAGGGCUGCUGAGAUGCUGAGCUAUGGGCUGCUGAGCUGCGGGGCUGCGGGGCUGCUGAGCUGCGGGGCUGUGGAGCUGCUGAGCUGCGGGACCUCAGGGCUGUGGGGCUGCUGGGAUGCUGAGAUGUGGGACUGCGGGGUUAGCGGAGCUGCAGGGCUGUGAGGUGCAGGGCUGCGGGGCUGCGGGGUUAGCGGUGCUGUGGAGCUGCAGGACUGCGGGGUUGCGGGCUGCGGGGCUGCUGAGCUGCAGAGCUGCUGAGUUGCAGGGUGCAGGGCUGCGGGGCUGCUGAGCUGCGGGGCUGCAGAGAGCAGGGCUGCGGGGUUGCGGGCUGCAGGGCUGCUGAGCUGCAGAGCUGCUGAGCUGCAGGGUGCAGGGCUGUGGGGUUAGCGGGGCUGUGGAGCUUCAGGGCUGCGGGCUGCAGGGUGCAGGGUUGCGGGGCUGCAGGGCUGCUGAGCUGCUGAGUUGCAGGGUGCAGGGCUGCGGGGCUGCUGAGCUGCAGGGCUGCAGGGAGCAGGGCUGUGGGGUUGCGGGGUGCAGGGCUGCGGGGCUGCAGGGCUGCUGAGCUGCAGGGUGCAGGGCUGCGGGGUUGCGGGGUGCCGGGCUGCGGUGCUGCAGGGCUGCGGGGCUGCUGAGCUGCGGGCUGCAGGGCUGCGGUGCGGGCCGGCGGCGGCGUCAGGAACCCCGACAGGUGGAGCGGGGGCGGGCGGGGCUGCGGGCGGCCUGCGAUUCCCGAGAGCCGGGCGCCACCCAGCGGAAGCGGGAGGGAGUCGGGCCUCUCGGGCGCGGGCCCCGGGAGCCGGGCGGGCGAGGUCGGGGUUCCCCGCCUGCGUGCGCGGCCUUCCCGGAGCCCCCGACAGCAGGUCCCGCCGCCCCGGGCGAGGCCGCUGGCUCCCCCGCACGCACCAGCCGGCGGGCAGGCCGGGGCGGGGGUCCUGCAGGGAGGCCAAGCGCAGGGCGGAGGACGGGGCCACGUGGGCCGCGCUCAGCAUCCGCAGAGGUUUUUGGCGCGAGUCCCUGAUUCCGAGAGGCUGCGGGAUGGCCUGACGCGGCCUGUCCGGCUGCUUUCUUCUCCGGGGCGCGCCCCUCCCGCCCGGCCCGCCUGGUGUGCGAGGAUGGUGUUUGAAAGGGAGGAAGCAUUCCUGAAGUGCUGGGUGAUGGAUUGUCUAAACCCUUCUGGGACGCCCUGGGCGGGGCGCUUGGAGGCAGCUCAUCAAUAAAGACCCCCCUGGAGAGGCGAGGGGUGGCCGGGCGGGGCCCCCACCGCGCAGCCCGAGGAAGCGGGGCCGGGAGGGAGCUCGCGCAGGGGAAGGGCAGCGGGGAAGGCGCGCAGGUCAGCGCCGGGCAGGUGGGGCUUGCUUCUUGCCUGGACCCCCGGCCACGGAAGCACUUUAGGCUUGGAGGCCGCGGGGGGAUUCACUGGGGGGCGGGAGGGCUGGCAGAGAAAGGCUGGUGGGCUCCCCCUCCCGGGGGUAGGGGAGCAGGAGGGGAAGCAGGGGCGCAGAGGCACCAGCGGCCCUCCUGCUGCUCCAGCCUUCUCCAGGCCCCUGCGAGAAUCCAUCAGUCCGUCUCCCAAACUGCAGGGCGGACGGAGGCGCCGGGCAGAGGACGCGGCCCAAGCCAUCCCGAGGGUCUCAGGAGGUCAACACUUGGACCAGGCCAAGGACAGGCCACAGCCUCUGACGCUGAAAAGCCCCAUUCUUUGUCCUGGGCAGCAGUCUCCCGAGAUACCCCAUGCAGGGUCGUGGAGGCCCCAUACACGGCUCCUCUGGGGUCCCCUCUAAGAGGAGGCGUCCUGGGGUUGGGGACGCCCGUGGGGAACCUGGCGGCUAGCUCCUUGGGAAGGCCAGCUUGCAGAGGCGGCUUCUGGGCCUCUUUGGAGGACCGCGGGCGGCCUCCGCUGGCCCCGAGAGCCCCUCUCCUGCUCGCAGGGUCCCCUCCCCUGUCCCGGCACCGACAACCACUGGCUGUCCCCUCACGACAGCCUUGGGGGCCCUUCGCCCUCCGUGGCCUAGAGCUGCCCCCCUCCCUACCCAGGGUCCCGUCGCCUCCCAGAGCACAGACCGCCCGCAGGCCUGGAGGAGGGGUGGGGGUGCUGGGGGACGGAUGAGAGGCUGAGAGGGAGGGCUCCCGAAAAGUAGCUCCUCCAAGGCGGCGUCUGGGCGCCCGAGGUCCCCAGUCGGGCUCCGGGCGCCGAGCACGUUUUAUUUAUCCUCACAGAGGAUGCUGGAGGACAAAAGAAAUAUUUGGACGUCAGCGCUGAUUUAUAUUUUUGGAAGAGCUACGUUUCCUUUUCUGAAGAGAAGCAAGCGCCCCAUAUCCUGAGCCCAGCAGGGAGGACAGGAGGGGAGUUUUGAUGCUCCAGGAAGUCCAUCCCUCCCGGCUCCUCGGGCAAGGCCCGGCGCCCCGCGGGGCUCGCUGCCCUCCGGGUUACUUAUUUGGGGGUAAGGGAGGGUAAGCGGAAAGGAGAUGAAGCCGACCCCGUCUGGGUUGGGA